This 24-nucleotide ribosomal RNA is filed under the name Ficus altissima (council-tree). RNAcentral describes it as "partial 28S ribosomal RNA". The record is from RNAcentral. Lineage: Eukaryota; Viridiplantae; Streptophyta; Magnoliopsida; Rosales; Moraceae.
AACGCGACCCCAGGUCAGGCGGGG